GCCUGGCUGGCUCAGUCGGAGGAGCACGUGACUCAUGAUCCUGGGGUUGUGAGUUCAAACCCCACGUUGGGUA
Molecule: transfer RNA, 73 nt
Filed under: Felis catus (domestic cat)
Lineage: Eukaryota; Metazoa; Chordata; Mammalia; Carnivora; Felidae
Rfam family: tRNA
About the family: Transfer RNA (tRNA) molecules are approximately 80 nucleotides in length. Their secondary structure includes four short double-helical elements and three loops (D, anti-codon, and T loops).
Source: Rfam by way of RNAcentral